Mus musculus (house mouse) is the source of this 7286-nucleotide long non-coding RNA. RefSeq annotates it as predicted gene, 39884. NCBI's taxonomy places the organism in Eukaryota, Metazoa, Chordata, Mammalia, Rodentia, Muridae. The record is from RefSeq and is a predicted model, not a curated record. The transcript is spliced from 2 exons.
UCUGACCAUCAUGCCGAACGCCUCUCAAAAUGCUGGCUGAACUGAGGAUUUACAAAAUUAACCAAUGGCUAUGGAACACUCCAAAACAAAAGCCAAAGGCUAAAUGAAAGCAGAAAUCCCAGUGGGGGUAGGGCGGGUACCCACUGUCUAGGUCCAAAAGAAACUCGGGACAAAUGGCUAUCUAUGGUGUCUUUUAGACUACCAAAGUGCAUGCUGCCCUCCAGCCUCCAGUAUCACGGCUCCCAGCCGUUCUCCUCAGCAAUUCUCACCCGCCCCUACCCUAAACUUCUCUAAUCCAUGAGCUUUCCUUCCCCCAUCUUCUCAUUUUCUUAUAACCCCGACAUUUCAGCUAUGUGCUCUCUUGAUCCCCUCUCUUGUUUUUGGCUUCCUCUCUUGGCUCACAGACUCUGUCUUUAUUCCUUGCCCUCCCCUCUUCCUCUCCUCCCAUGGCCCAUCCAGUCUGUUGGUCAUCUUAGUGUACCACUUUCCCUCUCUGCUCUGGACUCCUCCACAUACCUCUGGCUGUAUUCCCCUUCUUAUCUAUGAUUAAAAACCUUCCCCCGACCAUACCUUGGAGCUGUCACGCUCCAGCUUUAUCCAUCUGGUUCCCAAACACUUACCUCUCGGAGGACAUCUGCUACAUAAUAUAAACCUUAGCUUUGAUUCUCAUGGACUGACUGAGAUGGGGUCACUGCAGCCACCAGCCAGAGCCCUUGGGCACUAACAGAAGUCCCCAGGCCUUAUAAAAAGCUAGGUCUCUAGGGAUCUCUACAGACAGCCCAGCGAUGAACUAAGAGGCGACUCCUGUGCACUCUACAUAGAGAUCUCAAUACAGAACUGAGGGCAAAGCCAUUCCCAAAGAAUUCCUAACCCUGAAGGCUCUCAGUGAGUCUGAAGUCUCCGUUCACAUUCCUUGGUUAAAUGGAAACAUCCUAAGCUGAAGUCUUAGGUUUAAACAGCCCUCCAGAGGUUUUGGUAAAAAUGCGGAAGCAGCUAGAAGCUAAUUCCUUCCUCAUUUCCUGGAAGAGCAAAAUGCACAAAAGUAAACAGAACAACAAACUCAAGUUCCAUCCUGUAAGCCCAAGACUCAAGCACGGAAAGACUGGAGCAAAUGAGAGCUCACCGGAAAGACAUGAUGAUGAAAUUAUUAUGCACACAGGUAAUUAUUUGGGGCAGAGAAUGAAGGGCAGAGAUUAUAGCAAGCUAGCCCAGGAGCGGACAAUUAAAACAAAAACAAACAGAUAAAAACCCACCAGCGAACAGGCCUAUGGCUGGGCAGUUACUCACCAGCAGCUCUGGCUCCCGCAUUCCUGGCAUUUUGAUUUCUAUAGUUCCAGGGGCUGGGGGUGGGGUCCCAUGCACUGUAGGUGGUUUAUCAAUAUGGAAGUAUGAAGUACAUCUCCAUGGGCUACUUGAUGGGCAUUUGGAGUCACCUAGGAGACACACCUCUGAAAGUGUCUACUGGGGCGUUUGCAGAGAUGAAGACCCACCCUGAAUGUGGGUGGCACAUUCUCAAGGGGCAAUAAGAAGGGGCAAAGAAGAAAGUGAGCCCAUCCCUGCUUCCUGACAGCAGGUGACGUGUGACCGACCCUCUGUCUGUCUCCAACUCCCACCGCCAAGCCAUCUCCACAAUGAUGGACUAGACACCCUCAAACCAGGAGCCCAAACAAGCCCUCCCUUCCUCGAACUGCCUUUUGUUGAGAGUUUUGUUACAACGGCAAGAAAAGUAACUGAUAUGGUUGUGUUCCUCCCACUAGAGACCAGCAGUGUGAGCCCUACCCCAAACUGUAGCAAACAAGAAGUGACUAGACAUUGCUACAAAUCUUUGGGGACAAAGUUUCCCAAGGUCGGUGUUCCCUGCUGUAACAGUAAUCCAGGCGCUACAGACCUGUGAGCACCAGAGGGGGAUGGAGGAAACUCACUUUGGAAGGUAAGGUGAGACUCAAGGACACAGAAAAAAGAAGCACAAAAGCCCUCAGCAACAGAUCCCACAACACAUAGGCUGCUCUUGCAGAGGACCCAGGUUCACUUUCCAGCACCCACAUGGGGGCUCACAGCCAUCUGUAACUCUAGUGCCAGGGGACCCAGCUCCCUCUUCUGGCCUUCAUGAGUAUUGCACACACCUGAUAUAUCUUAAAGAGCUUCCUUCAACCAGAGCUGUGAACACACAACUCACAGGCAUGUACAUUUCUAAAGUGAAUUAGCAUAGACUAAAGACAACCGCACUAAAGCAAAUGGGUGGGAAGGGCCAAUGAGCCUACCAGAUGGAAAACACCAGAAAAGAAACUGUUGUCAUGGAUUAGAUGAACAUUCCAAGCAACUGGUGAUCGGUGGGAAAACAAACAAACAAACAAAAAACAGUGUGAAAAAGCUUCCAUGAGGGAGAGCCACAAAGCAGAAAUAGAAGCACAGUUAAGGAAAGCAAGACAAAGCAGGGUGGGGGGCAGAGACAAGGGUCUGUGGGGAGAGAUGUGAGGACAGAUAAAAGAAAGGCAGCUACAGGGCGGGGCACAGUUGGAAGCGCUUAGCCACAGCAGAGCAAUGGUAACAGGCAAGGGAUCGGGAAGGGCAUCCAAUGGGCAGAGUGAAGACAAUGGCUGUCUUUAAUUCCAGUGGAAAUUACAGAUACAGGGAAAAAGGAACAAAAGGGAGCCAACAUACACAUAAUUAGAAUUCCUAAAGAAUAAAAGCCAAACAGUGAAACAUAAUAUUUAAAAUAGAAUGCAGGGAGAGGCUCUUGAAACCAAAGAUAUAAAUCUACCUGAAAGGCAUGCUGUGUGCCAGGGACCAUGACCUAGAGCAGCCAACUCCAAGACUUCUAAUAAAAUUAACAGACUUAAAGGGGAAACAAAAAAAUUCCUUUGACCAGCCAAGCCCACUCCACUCCCCCCCCCCAAAAAAAUUACUCAUAAAAGGGAUAAAAUCAGGCUGUCUGCACAGCAGCCAGAGCUGGACAUCGGCUCGACACUCUCGGGGUAUUUAACUGUUGUAUGUCUUCUUCGGAUGGUGACUGAAUCCUAUGCUAUUUUUUCCUUUAAAUAUUAAAGAAUGUAAAAGUGUGUAUGGGUAUUGUGCCUGUGUGUCUAUGCACCAGGAGUGUACAGUACCCAUGGAGGCCGGAAGAGGGAGUUGGUUGCCCUGGGACUAGAGUUACGGGCGGUUGACCCUGUCUGUGGGUGCUGGGAGUUGAGCAUCUCUCUGGCACCCUUUGUCCACUUUUACUAGAAGCACCUUUGCUGUAAAGUUGUAAAUAUUUCCUAAAUAUUAUAGAUACAAUACCUUUUUGGAUAUAUGACUUAGAAAUUUACCAUCUCAAUCUUAUAAAGUGUGUAUUCAUCUUCCUUUUAAGGUGCUUUUUACAUUUUUAUUUAGUUAGUUUGUGUGUGUGUGUGUGUGUGUGUGUGUGUGUGUGUGUUUAUGUAGGUAGGUAGGUCAGAGGAUGACAGCCUGUGCAAAUCAAGUCUGUCUACUUGUGGGUCCCAGAGAUGGGACUCAGGUCCUCAGGUUUAGAGGACCUUUGCACACACUUGCCAUUUUGCUGAUGCCUAUUCAUUUACUUAAUGGAAUUCUUUGAUGUAUGAAAGCUUUUCAUGUGUAAGCCCUGGGCCUCCCAUGCAACCUAGGCUGUCCUGAACUCUUGAUGCUCCUGCCUCAGUCUCCAGGAUGCUGCAAUUGUCAAUACAUGUCACGAAGCCCAGCGGAAAGGUUUGAAUUUUGAUUAAGUACGACUUUUAUAUUGUUUUCUUUAACCGUUUGUGCCUUUGGCAUUGUACCUGAGAUACCACGGGGGCAGAAGACUUGCUCCUAUGUUUUCUUCUAAGAGUUUUACAGUUUUAGCUCCUGUAUUUUGUCUCUGGGGGUUUGGUUAUUUUGUUAGUUUUUGUUUGUUUUGAUUGCCCAUUUUGAGUUAGUUUCUGUACAUACCGUGGAGCAAGGGCCUGUUGUCUUUAGUCUGUGGGUCUCCAGUUAUUCCAGCAGCAUUUGAUAAACAGAUGCCAUUCACCCUCGCCUUGGUUACUGAUCCUGUUACUGUAACAGAAUAUCUGGCAGAGGCUGCAUGAAGGAGGAAGGAUUUCUUUUAGCUUACUGCUCAUCACAGUUUUACAUCAUCAUUACAUCAUCAUAGCAGGAAAGUCCUGUGCUCGGGAGCUUUGAGGCAGUUUGUCAAACUUCACCUGUAAUCAAGACACAGAGAGCCAUGAAUACACAGCUCACUCUCUACUUCUUAUCCAGUCCAGUACUCCAGACCACAGAGCAGAGCUGGCCACACUUAGGAUGAGUCUGCCCACUUCAGUUAACCGAGUCUAGAAAAUCCCUCACACACAUGCCUAGAAACUGUUUGCAUGGUGAUUCUCAAACCUGUCACAUUGACAAGUCAAAAUGAACCUUCACAGCCACCCAGGGACCUUGGCACUUUGGUGCAAGAUCUCAGUUACCGCUGCAGUGCCAUGCCUGCUUGCCUGUGCCAUGCUUCUCACAAUGAUGGUUCCAGACGCUAGCCUCUGCAGCCAGGAGCUCCCAGUUUAAAUGCUUUGUUUUAUAAGUUGCCUUGGACAUGCAGUCUUUUCACUGGAAUAGGACAGUAACUAAGACAAGAAGGAAAAGGAGGAGGAAAAGAAGCAGGGCGGAGAAAGGAGGAAGAGAAGGAGCAGCCACUGAGUUAUCAAUACAUACCGCUGCACCUGACAAGGUGGGGGACCAUGAGCCUGCAUAUCUGUGUUCAUGAGUCUGGAUCCAGCAUGGCAAGUAUUAUUUGCACAUAUGUUCUAUUGCAGAAACUUUAUGGUGGGCCAGGGUGGGCUGGGUGUGGUUUAACUUCAUGGCUCAGAAAAAGAAUGGGACAGAUUUUAGGAGCUUACUACCAGGGUCUGUCACAGUCCAUACCUUGGCCAUUGCUUAUCUGGGCAUGCUUAUUCCCACAGAUAGGGCACACACAACCCCUCCAUAUGGGGGACAUACAGCCCUUCCCUAUGGGAGACAAACCAGUGCUCACUCAAUGAAUUACGUGCAGAGCUCUCCAUAGGGUCAGCUGUGUUUCUGUGUAAGAAUGAUAACUUACUUCUUGGCUUUAUUCUGGUUUGUUUGUUUUUAUUGGCCUGUUUUCUAAACAGAAAUAGAAUGGAGACAUGGAGCUGGGUGGGUGAGAAGGGGUGGGGUCUGGGAGGAGACUCAGGAGGGGAAAGCAUGAUCAGGCUCUACUGUAUGAAAAAAUAACUUUUUUUUUCAAUUCUUAAAAGAAAAAGAACGGCAACCUAGGAUCUAAAGGCUAUUGGUGUGCCCCAUGCACCGGCCGAGAAGACAAUCGUAGGCAGGGAAAGGCAAAUCAUGAUAAAUACUUCCAUUCUGAAGAGGAGGCACGGAUAUCACACAGGAUAGGUGGGAAUAGUGGGGGACCCUGGUGCCCCAGAUUUGCCUUCUGGAAGUUUCAGCCUUGUCUGUACUGCUCAUCUGAAGUAGUGUCUAGUAAGUAUGUUUCCCUUAAAAGCUGUUUGGGAACCUCAGCAGUUAAGAGAUUUUUGGCAGUAUAUUUGGAAAAGAAACAAUUACUUGCCUGGACACUGUGUUAGGAUUCCUGUGUAUGUUCCUCUGAUCAUUACUGUGAGCCAGUAGUCACAUGUAAGCCUCUUUCUCACAUAACGUUUAUGCUGACUUUAUUUCUGGUCAUCCUUGCUUAGUCACACCCCUUCCCCUCUCCUGACUGCUAUUUUGAGACAGCUGGAAUAAUAGACUCACAUGUGAAUGAACAUCCCUAACCCAACCUUUGCUUUGAGACUACAUCUCUCACAUGGAAAGAUGGUGGCAAAUAUAUUUGUUUAUCAUAGAUAAAGAAGAUAUUUAAUAAUGUCAUUUAUUAGACAGGUUUAAUGUACAAAAUUAAUAAAUGUGCCACAUUUCUUGUGAUCAUAGGACCCUCAUCAGGUCACAGAGAAUAAUCUCAACAGCUUUCUAAGAAGAUAGUUGUUAUAGAAAACAUUAUCUGGUCCCAAUGAUAUUUAAGAAAAAAAAAUAGUAACUGUCCUGUUCUGUUCAGAUUUUUUUUCCCAAUUUGACACAAUCCAGAUUCAUCAAGAAAGAACUUCAAUUGAGAAAUGUUUCCAUCAGAUUAUUGGUUGGCAAGUCUGUGAGACUUUCUGUUGAUAAAUAAUUGGUGUGGGAGAGCCCAGUCCACUGUGGGCAGUGUCACUCCUAGGCUGGUUGUCCAGGGUUGUGUAAGAAAUCAAGCUGAGCCAGCCAUGAGGAGCAAGCCAGCAGACAGAGUUCCUCCACGGCUUCUGCUUCAGUGCCGAUCAUGGUGCUACACGGGGAGGAGGAGAUGCUCAAGUGGCAGAGGCUGGAAGAUCUCAAGAAUGAGGCAAAUCUGGAAGCAGGAACAGAGGAGUCACAAGCAAUUGUCCAUAGUCGUUACAGAUCAACUGCAAGAGAAGCCACAAGCCACCCCCACCCCCAGUUACAGUGACGAACUGGGUUAAGAAACCCAUGGCAAUAUUCCUACUUGAUGAGUCCAAUGCCUAGAAUUCAUAUUUGAGGGUGGGGGCGCAGUAGCAAACAUCUGGAAUCCUAAGGGAAAGAUGGAGGUUCAGGGUGGAGGCAGGAUAGAGGUAUUGUCCCAAAGAGUGUGGGUCAGCUAGUCGAGAACAUGCAGCAUGGUACAAAUAGGAGCAUGGCUGUCUCAACAUGGUGGAAGGAAAUACCUGACUCCUGAAAGUUAUCCUCUGAUCUCCUGGCAUGUAGUUGCAUGUGCAUCAAUGCCCCCUGUGUGUAUAUGUUCAUGUGAACAAGUAUGGACACAAAUUUUUCAAGUUUUAAAUCUUUUUUUUUUCAGAUUUAUUUAUUUGAUGUAUGUGAGUACCCUGUAGCUGUCUUCAGACACACCAGAAGAGGGCAUCGGAUCUCAUUACAGAUGGUUGUGAGACACCAUGUGGUUGCUGGGAAUUGAACGGAGGACCCCUGGAAGAGCAGCCAGUGUUUUUAACUUUUCCAGCUCCAAAGUUUCAAAUCUUACAGGAUCAUACCUUGGAUGUUUUCAAGGUUUUUGAAGUAACCACACCCAGUGAUGCAUUCUGGUAGAGUUCUGAAGUCUGCUAUCUUACUUGGCUUCCUGCCCUCACCCAAGGAGCUUGUAAUUUUAGCUACCUUGGUUGUGCCAAAUCAGCAUAUUUGACAGUAACAGCCUUAAUAUAAACCUUGUCUGAGGUCUGGGCCUUUGUUGGGCAUCUUGGGUGGCUCUAAGCAACUGAGUCUCAAUUCUUAAUGUGUGGGCUAAAUAAAAUGCACCUAUGUUUCUA